This 253-nucleotide ribosomal RNA is filed under the name uncultured bacterium. Its description in RNAcentral is "partial 16S ribosomal RNA". It matches the Rfam family "Bacterial small subunit ribosomal RNA", at positions 524 to 776 of the family's 1533-position model. The record is from RNAcentral.
UACGUAGGGCGCAAGCGUUGUCCGGAAUUAUUGGGCGUAAAGAGCGUGUAGGCGGUCUGGUAGGUCCGUUGUGAAAACUCGAGGCUCAACCUCGAGACGCCGAUGGAAACCAUCAGACUAGAGUCCGGAAGAGGAGAGUGGAAUUCCUGGUGUAGCGGUGAAAUGCGCAGAUAUCAGGAAGAACACCCGUGGCUAAGGCGGCUCUCUAGUACGGUACUGACGCUGAGACGCGAAAGCGUGGGGAGCGAACAGG